RNAcentral lists this ribosomal RNA (910 nucleotides) under uncultured bacterium. RNAcentral describes it as "bacterial SSU rRNA". It matches the Rfam family "Bacterial small subunit ribosomal RNA", at positions 33 to 949 of the family's 1533-position model. The record is from RNAcentral.
ACGCUGGCGGCGCACAUAAGACAUGCAAGUCGAACGAACUUAAUUGAGAGCUUGCUCUCAAAGCGGUUAGUGGCGGACUGGUGAGUAACACGUAAGCAACCUGCCUAUUAGAGGGGAAUAACAGCGAGAAAUCGUUGCUAAUGCCGCAUAUGCUGCGAGUAUCGCAUGAUACAAGCAGGAAAGGAGCAAUCCGCUAAUAGAUGGGCUUGCGUCUGAUUAGUUAGUUGGUGGGGUAACGGCCUACCAAGACGAUGAUCAGUAGCCGGACUGAGAGGUUGAACGGCCACAUUGGGACUGAGAUACGGCCCAGACUCCUACGGGAGGCAGCAGUCGGGAAUAUUGCGCAAUGGAGGAAACUCUGACGCAGUGACGCCGCGUGCAGGAAGAAGGUUUUCGGAUUGUAAACUGCUUUUAACAGGAAAGAAAAAAAUGACGGUACCUGUUGAAUAAGCUCCGGCUAACUACGUGCCAGCAGCCGCGGUAAUACGUAGUGAGCGAGCGUUAUCCGGAUUUAUUGGGUGUAAGGGGUGCGUAGACGGAAAUGCAAGUUAGUUGUGAAAUACCUCGGCUUAACUGAGGAACUGCAACUAAAACUAUAUUUCUUGAGUAUCGGAGGGGUUUGUGGAAUUCCUAGUGUAGCGGUGAAAUGCGUAGAUAUUAGGAGGAACACCGGUGGCGAAGGCGACAAACUGGACGAUAACUGACGUUGAGGCACGAAAGUGUGGGGAGCAAACAGGAUUAGAUACCCUGGUAGUCCACACCGUAAACGAUGGAUACUAGGUGUUGGCAAUGAAUAAUUGUCGGUGCCGGCGCUAACGCAAUAAGUAUCCCACCUGGGGAGUACGACCGCAAGGUUGAAACUCAAAGGAAUUGACGGGGGCCCGCACAAGCAGUGGAGUAUGUGGUUUAA